CCACUUCUAAUAAGGACAAUGAGCACACUUCACCAAAUGUCAAUAGGUUAUUCCUUUUUUCCCAACAAAAUCUUUCCAAUGGAAUCAUUGGCCCAUUGUGGCCAAGCUUCACUAUAGGACUUCAAACCUUCACCAACUUGAAUACCCAUCCCCAGAUCACCGCUCCUAUACUUAUUGAGGCUCUUCUCUUCCAAAUAAUAUCGCUAAAUGUUAUGAAGGGUGCUCAUACUAUUGGUAAGCAUACUCCAAUGUCAACAUAUAGGAUUUGUCCUACAUGGAUCGUUGAAGGGAAGUUUCUUGCCAAAAUGAUGGUGUAUCAAGAUAUAUUUCUCCCUCACGAAGUGCAUAUUGUUUUAGUGUUAUAUAACAUUACUUUGCUACCCUUCCAAGCCACAAAAAUACAAACCUCUCUAAAAUCUUUCGUUAAUAUAGGAUAAUAUAUAGUUCUUUUGAAACAUGUUCACCAUCGACUACUCCCUACGUCGACUACAAUAAAUUAAGCAUGCCACAAGUGCCUACCAAGAUGUCCCUUCUAACUAACCCGAUGCAACUUCAUAAGUAUUUAACGUUGCCACAAAUAAAAGGUGAAAAGGAAGAGGAAACCUAAACUCAAAUGUAUACAAAGGCAUAAAUUAAGUUGAUCCCCCUCACUUCAUGGCCACCACACUCAGUACAUUAUCCCUCAUAAAAAAAACUCAUACUAGUAAUCAUUCAACUAAAGACCAUGACACACUCCAAGCCCUUCAUCUUUUUCUUUCGUCGCCAUGCAUUUCAAGCCCUCAUUGCUCAUGAAAAAUUCAAUUGGCCUUCUCUUUCCUUUCUUCACCACUCUUGUUCCCCCAACAACAUGCUUUCAUUUACUACCAUCCACCUUAUCUACAUCGUAAGAAAAAAAACCCUUAAAAAUUAAAUUCAAGACUAAAGAAUGAGAAGCUCACCUAGCAUACUUAAAAAAUCUCAAAAAUAAAAGAAGUAAAAAACUAUCAAAUACAAUUUGUCACAGAAAUAUCGAAGAAAGAGAGUAAAGAAAGACUAUAGAAAAAAAUAAACAAAGUGAGAAGUGCAGAGGUGAAGUCUAAAGAGCUUGGAGAUAACUACGAGAUUUCUAAAGUGCAUAAGAUUGAAACAAGCCCUUGUUCAUAGAAAAUCUAGCUCUUUCAUGUUUACUACGCAUAUGAAAUCUCACAUACAUUUCCCAAUCGAUCACAAUGACAACCAAUAAAAUGAUGCCACGUACCUCGUGUUUCAUCAUGACCCUAAUAACCCACACAACUUAAGUAACACGUUUCCACAAACCAUGCUUAUCAUAAAAUGAACAACCAAGUAAUCAAUUGUAAAAUUCAAAUGUUGAAAUUUGAAAUUCCAAAAUUCAUUUAGUGUUAUGUAAGACACCCUACCACACAUCCUACCAUUAAAAGGAACUUUACUUAGCAUACGCAUUGUCUUAAAGUAGGCCACUUUAUAACCUCCAUUUUGAUUAGGGGCAAUUGUUACACAUACUUCACUAGAGAUAUCUUCACCGUACAAGAUGCCUUGCCAAUGGCCUACCUAAUCAAGGGAACUACUUUGCCUCACACAUGUUCCACCUAGACCUAACGGUAUGCUGCUCAACCAUUCAGGUAACUCAACCAUACUAAUAAGAUUAUCGUCACUUGUCACCCACAUACCCUGCAAUCUAGUCAUAUUAAAUCAUAUAGCCAACCUAACAAAGAACACGUGGUAUAAAAAAGUCAACCUUAUAUUUACCACUCCCGGAUCUCUAAUAGGGGAUUCUCUCCUUCCUAAUUCUUUAGUAGCUCUCCUUCCAAUAUCUACUACAGAAUCUCAACUACCCUUCUCUUUUUGCCCCUUAAGGAGAUUCGUCAUCUCCUUUCCAUUUACAUUUUAGCCAUAAACUCAUAUGUUAUAUUAUGUUCAUUUCAUUUAAUUACAUAAUUACAUAUGUUCAAAUCUAAAAAUUCAUCUUGCAACUUGAGACAAUCAUUUAAUUAGAAAUUUAGCUAAAUGCAACAAUUGUUUCGGUAGUUAUCAAUAUAAAUAAAUACUUUGGUUUAAUUUGAGAAAGAAUCAUUUCAUAUCAAGGGCCAAGUAAGCAACAAUUGUACUUAUAGCUAAUCACAGUACAAAGCAAACAAAAAAAAAGCCUAACGGUCAAAGAAACAAACUGCCCAAACAAGAAAAAAAAAUAGGCUUGAAGGCCAAGGACUAAUGACAAACCCAACGACCCAAUAAGAACCAAGAAAACCAACUUUCGACUGAAGGAACCACUUGCAACAACCAUGCACUUUUUCGCUAAAACUAUACAAAAUGAAGAUAAAUGAUUUAUCCGCCAUUGAUCCCAACUUAAAGUCUUUGCUUGGUAGAGUGGAAAUAAAUUUGGAAGGAUAAAAAGUUGAAGGGGUAGAAAAUUAGAAAGAUGGAAAACUUAAUUUUUUUUCCAUAGGUGUACUUGAUAGGAAAGAUAGAAAAUAGAAAGAAAAAAGUAAUUUUCUUUCCAUCCAUUGCUUAGUAGGUUAAAAAAUAAAAAGAAAGAAAAUAAAACAUUUAAAUAUGCAUAAUUUUGAAUUGGCAUACACCUCUCUCUCUCUCAUUUUCUCUCUUCUCAUCACCCAAAUUUAAAAGGAAUGAUUUUUAUGUACUAGAACAGAAAAUGAUCAUAUUUAUUAUCUUCUUUCCUCACAUUUUUCUUCCCUAUCAAGCAUACUCUAAAUUUUUUUCCCAUUUUUCUAUUCUCCCUUCCCAUCCUUCCACUUUUUCACCCAAUUAAGCAAUUUUUGCUCAACGCACAAUAACACUCAUCCUCAGUUAAUCCUUUUACUUCACAUAAGACCAGAUAUAAUUUUUGAGCAUUUUUUUAAUAGUCAUUUCUGACUUCCCUUGAGUUAGCAUUUCGAAGACAAUGCUCUUACUUAAUUUAAGGCCAACAGUCCAUAUGUUUUCCCCAAUAACGUGACAGCAUUAGUAAGUGAAGUAGAAAUUUAUUCACUUCUAUCAAAAAUCUUUUUUUCUUCUUUGAAAAUGUGGAACCAUCUUGGUUAGGCUUUGGCGAUUGCAAUUGUGUAGCCGAGAAAUCCAUCUCAUCCAAAGAAACAUCAAACUUUGCAUCCAUAGUAAUUGUCUCAUUCUUCAACAUUAUUUGCAGUAGCUACAUCCUCAGCAUCUAUUUCUUCAACAAUAUAUGUAGUUUUUUGAGCAUAUUUCUUAGUGGCUCAAUCUUUUGUAUAUAUGGAAAUAAGUUGGUCAUAAUAAGGGAAAUCGUGAUGUUUGAAUUGACCAGUUGCUUUAUGACUAUAAAAAAAGAAGGAAUCCACAUUAGAUAUAAGUUUGAUCAAAACAAGAUAAUAAAGACAGGAAAUAAUUACUAUACUUAUAUAUAGGUUCCACAAAGCAUCUUCAACAACAACUAUCUGCCUAUGAUCGUCCCAACCAAAGCCACUAUUGUCUUUUCUACUGAGCAUGUCGCAAAAGAUUGCCCAAUCUCUUUUCAAUGUGCUAAUCCUCAAUUCAAGAUUAGGUUUAGCCUUCAACAUAGCAUGAGGUAAAAAUUUUUCUAACAUUCUUUCUGACUCAUUUAAAUAACCGCCUUGAAUCCCGUUCUAUGUUAAAGGUUCCAACAUUGUGCAAGUCAACCAUAUAGGCAACCAACGCAACAUCUUCUUCUGGAACCUAUUUCCUUUUGAUUCCUCAAGUAUUUUGAGAAGAAGCACUCGAUUGUGAAAAGCCUAACAUAACUAUCUUAAGAAAAAACUCAAAUUAAAAUUAGGUUCGAUAUUAUGAAUCAGAAGGUCGACACUUUAUAAAAUUAUAACACAUGGCGAAUCAAAAGAAAAUAAAUUAAAGUUUUAAUUCAACAGGUCCAAUGCAAUACAUAAGGACAAUUCAAACAACACAAAAGUUUCGUAAACUAGAUACAUGAAAUAACAUAAACAAAUUAAUCUUCUACUAUGUUUUAAUAAACUUAACUAAUUUCUAGAUGCUUGCGAUUCAUAGAACAUUUGAUUGGCUAGUUCUAUCCUCCAAGUAUCCCAUGUAUUCGAUGGAUGAAUAUUUACGAUAUUCAGUUCAUUGUCAUCUAUCACAUUAUUAGGUAAUCCUUCUCCCAACUUUGCUUCAAUAAGAUUAAUAUUCAUAUAGGUUUGAAUAAAAUUAUGGAGAAAAUAACAUGAAAUAAUGAUUCUAUUGUGCACCCUCACAUGAUAGAAUGAUGGACUCCUAAGUAUUCCCCAUCUAAGUUUUAAUAACCCAAAGCAUAUUUCAAUAACAUUACACGUUGAAGCAUAUUUCAUAUCGAAAAAUUCUUCUGAAGUACUUGGAUGGUAACUCUGACGUCACUUAUUCAAAUGAUAUAUUUAUCCUCUAAAAUACACAAGAAAUCCCUUAAAGUUUGUGUAACCAACAUCAACUAGAUAAUAACAACCUACAAAAAAGGGGAAAAACUAUUUAUCAUGGUUAACUUUCCCAAAAACCUAUGAUCUUAAAAUUAAUUCAAAUUCCUCCAAAUCUGCAUUUUACCAUGAGGAACUUUUAGUUUAUAUCUCCUACUAAUGACAUCUCAAAGAACUCAUCCAUCAGCAAUAUAACCUUCCCAACCAGGAAGAAUAUAAACAAAGUGCAUAUCAAGUGUACAAACACCUAACAUAUUUGUUACUACGUCAACUUUUUGCGUUCAAUAUAUAGGUUUAUCAACUUUUGGAACCCUAAUCUUGAUGUGGGUUCCAAAGCACCUAAGCAAUUCUACAUCACAUGUAUAAAACCUCGGGUUAGGAUACUAUAUUUAAAUCUAAAUCAAUUGAAUUAUGUACAAGCUAUAUAUGAAACUCACUCCAAUACCUUGAACCAUUUCCACCUUAGGUCUGUAGAAUUAGUUGUAAUUGGCUCUGCCUUUUUAAAUAACACAUCUUGUAAGCGGAUGACAACAUUUAAAACAUUGUGAAAUGAUCAGCUAAUGGAUUCCUCGGACCUAUUAAAGUGAUGCUUGAUAACUCAGCUUUUAAGGUGAUAAGAAAUGAUAUGUAAGAACAUUGUCACUUGCUCAUCAACAACAUGUUCCUUGACGACUUCAAUCCUCCUAAAGUUUGUAACAUCUCACAUAGUUAAAAAAAAGUAAUUAUAUUCAUCCUAACUUGUUCAAUACAGGUCUCAUCACUAGCAUGUACAAGUCUUUUCAAAUAAUCUCGUUAUGCAUAAAAAUCUAAAAUAUAUGAUCUAAUCCUUGUUCUAUAAGUAUGUAGGCUAUAGACGACACCCAAUGUAACUAAGGAUCAACUCACAACUAUACACAUUUGCAACAAUAUUUUCAAUGCAAGACCAAUUCUUUUUCGCCUCUCACUUUGUACUAUUAAAGGCAAACGAGUCAUUAUUACAAGAUAUUAAAGUGUUAAAUAUCUUUAAAUCAUAGUAUAAAUUAAUCUCAAAAUAGAAUGUGAUGCAUAUAUCUUCAAAGCACACAACAUAAAGCUAAAAAGAAUAACUAUUUUUUUUAUUUUGAUGUACUAUAUUAUGCUUUUUCAAUCUAAGUUACAAGCUUAUUUACUCAAUUAUUUAUUCUCAAAUAUAAAUUAUCAAACUACCUCGUUAAUCACUUUAUAAUUCGACCGAUUCUAUUUUGGUUAAUUCAAUCUUAUUUUAUCUCAAUAUUUAAUAAAAAGGAAAACGAUGCAAAAAUUUUGGAAAAUUCUAUACUGUUGUUUUGAUUGUUAGUAGCAAAAUCAGUUGAAAUUCUAUUUUGGUUAAUUCAAUCUUAUUUUAUCUCAAUAUUUAAUAAAAAGGAAAACGAUGCAAAAAUGGAAAACGAUGCAAAAAUUUUGGAAAAUUCUAUAUUGUUGUUUUGAUUGUUAGUAGCAAAAUCAGUUGAAAAAUUUUACAUACCAGAAAGUACUAGCCAAUACCACUUAUAUGUAUGAGAAAAAGAUAAUCGAGUUGAUGAAAUAACUAGAAGUUGAAAGAGCCAAGUCUGAAAGUGCUGAAGAACAGUAUGAAAUGAGAUGGAGAAUUAUAAAUAUCAGAUGACUCUUAUUGACACUACUCAGAUGUAUGAAAUGAAAAUCACAGAGUUAACUAAGCAAUUAGUAGGACGAGCACACCAGGUUUGAAGCUGCACAAGAACAAUUAAGCAAGUAGAGAAUGAGCAAACAUGCUGCUAGUAGAUUAUCAGAACUCAACGCAAGUUAAGCUUCUGCCUCAAAUGAAAUGUGAAAUGAUCUUUUGUUCCCUCCUAAAUAUCUCCUUACAAUCUAAUUGCUUUAAUAGUACAUGACCUUAUUCUCUUCCCUUCUAGCUCUGUUUAUAUUUUAUUUGUUAUCAUCACUUUUUAACAAUCACUGGGGUAUUUGACCAAAGAUCAGACCUAGAAGUGCCUCAAUAACAAAUAUUCCUAAAAAUUGAAAUCUUUUAACAAGGGAAAAAUGAAAUUCCAUUAUAAAAAAAAAACUACUUCAACAAAAAUCAAAAUUUUAACAUAAAACACAAACUUGUAUGCUAACACACACACACACACACACAAAAAAGCAAAUAUUCAAAGACAAAUUUGAGAUUUUCAAUACCAUUAACGCAUUCGGUUUCUAGGUUUUACAGUAACCUUCAAACUACUGAAAUUCUUGAGCAAAGUUCUGUAUGUAAGGAAAAAAGCAGUCAUUUGUUAGCAUACAUGUCUUUUUUUUAGCUAGAAUAAAAAAAACAUAGUUUCCUUUACGAAACAGUGUUCGAACAAUUCAAGAAAUGAGAGAAAAUUUGGGGCUCAAUUAAGAUAUCAAUUCAGGAAAAAAGAACCCUCAACAGAACUCACAGAUCAAAUAUCCUCAAAAGAACUAUAAAUCAAGAUGAUACAUUUGUUAGGCUUAAUUUUAAAAAUACAGAAAUAUAAACCAAUACUUUGAAAUUAAAAAAAAAAGUCUUGUUCUUUGAAUUAUUAUGGUAUGAAGAUAGAAAAUUUAACAAAAAGAGAUAGAAAAAUUUUUAGGAUAACAAAAAUUGGCAGAGAGGAAACAAAAGGAACAACAAAAGAGAGAAAAGGUUUACCUAAAGGACGCUCCGAUGAAGGGGAGGAGUGCUAGUGGUCGGAGGCAAAGGAAGCAAACUCUACUUAAAUGGGUAACAAAAAGAAGCAGAAAAAUUUUUAGGGUAAGAAAAAUUAGCAAAGAGGAAAACGAAAAGAACAACGGAAAAGAGAAAAUGUUUACCUGAAGGAAGCUACGAUGAAGGGUAGGAGUGCUAGUGGUCAGAGUCAAAGGAAGCAAGGGAGUGGUUGUUGGGCUGAGUGACAGCGUUUUUAAGGUGAGAAAGUGGGGAGGGUAAAAUAGAUUUCUCAAGCACCGAAUCAGCCAUUCAGUGGAGAGGAGACAAAAUAGAAAUGACUCAUAUUCC
RNAcentral lists this long non-coding RNA (7362 nucleotides) under Gossypium barbadense (sea-island cotton). RNAcentral describes it as "long non-coding RNA (GBAR_LNC018794)". The record is from RNAcentral. Lineage: Eukaryota; Viridiplantae; Streptophyta; Magnoliopsida; Malvales; Malvaceae.